This is a long non-coding RNA of Apodemus sylvaticus (European woodmouse), 8063 nucleotides long. RefSeq lists it as uncharacterized. NCBI's taxonomy places the organism in Eukaryota, Metazoa, Chordata, Mammalia, Rodentia, Muridae. The transcript is spliced from 3 exons. The record is from RefSeq and is a predicted model, not a curated record.
UUUAAAAAGAAGAAAAACCCCAUAGGCUCUAGAGCUCUAGCUAUUGUUUUGAGAAAAAUCAUUGGCCCCUGACUCAGGAGAUGACUGGCAGUUUGGGGGUCGGACUAUCCACACUCUGUGGCUAGUGUGAGGUUUAAGACUCAGAGUCCCUGUGGUCUGUGACUGGUGCAAGGUUUUGACUAAGCGGAGCACCACAGUGCUACCUGGGAGCACAGUGACUCAUGGCUCAACAAAAACCUUCUGUUUGGAGCUUUCCAGGGGCAGCCUGAGCUAUGAGGAAGCAGAGAGGCUUGAGAAAUCAGAUGGAGAAGAGAAGCUCUGAGAGGAAAGGUAGCUUUCUGGAGGGCAGGAGACAGUGCAGAGGAGAAUGAAUUACUGUGGACAGGUCUUGGAUGGGGAAAGGAUGCGCAAACACAGGCAUCAGAAGGGUGGGUGCAGUGUCCCGCAAGGACUUACCAAGAGGAUCCCAGGACAGAGCAGGCAGGUGGGGGUUAUUGGAGGGCAGGGUAGGUUUAGCUCCCUCUCUCCUUUCCUUGCUCCUUCUCCUGUUUCCUUCUUCUCUUCUCUCUUUACAGGGUCUCACUACGCUAGCCAAGGUUAGCCUGAAAGAUACCAUCCUACAGGUGUGCCCAUCCGGUUGAGUUAAGGUGGAGAUCUCUCCAAACAUCUGAGUUGUUGAGGCUUGGACCAUGCUGGGGACACCAAGGGACUUUGGGCUGGGCUUAAAUGGCCCUGGAUGGAAGGUUACUUUACUGUGUCUAUGAUGUCUGGGGCUAGAGGACUCAGGUCACAGUCUCCUCAGGUGAGUUCUGCGUCUGGAGACUGUGCGGUUCAGGUGGGCCAAGGCAGGCCAUGGCGAGAGUUUUAGUAUAGGAACAGAGGCAGAACAGAGGCUGUGCUACUGGUACUUUGAUGUUUGGGGCCAAGGAACCAUGGUCACCGUCUCCUCAGGUAAGAUCUCCUCUGUUGGCUCCUACCUUCUCUGACUGGGAAUCAGCAAAGCCUCUGGGGUCUCUACUUAAUCUGUGUCCGGUGCAGAUGGGAGUCAAGUUUUUGUUUAGCCAGCAGCAGGGACCAUGUCCCUGAGCAAUGCUUUUGCUAUCUGGGGCACUGGAACCCAGGUCAUUGUCUGUUCGGGUAAGCUGGCUUUCUUUCUGCACCUUUCAUUCUGAAACUGGAAAAGAUAUUCCCAGAUCUCCCAUGUUGGGCCAUCUGCACACUCUGCAUCCUGCAGAAGCUUUUCUGUAAGGACAGGGUCUCUGCUCCCAGGAAAAGAGGCAGGCAGAGGCUAGCCGCCUGUGGGACAAUGACAGUCAGAGAAAAUAGGCUUUUACAUUGUUAGGCUGUGUGGGUAGAUGUAGAAGUUUUUGUACACCCACUAAAGGGGUCUAUGAUAGUGUGAUUACUUUGACUACUGGGGCCAAGGAACCAUGGUCACCGUCUCCGCAGGUGAGUCCUUACAACCUCUCUCUUUUAUUCAGCUUAGAUAGAUUUUGCUACAUUUGUCAGGGGGAAAUGUGUGUAUCUGAAUUUUAGCUCAUGAAGGACUAGGGACACCUUGGGAGUAAGGAGGGUCUUUGGGGGCCCUGGCUGACACAGACAGACAUCCUCAGCUCCCAGACAUUAUGGUCAGAGAUUUAAAGGGAUCCUGGCCACCACUGCCGCUGGGUCCCUCUCUUCUGUACUGCCUUUGCCCCUCACUGGGCUCCAUCUGAGAUAAUCCUGGAGCCCUAGCCAAGGACCAUUUAUUGUCGGGGUCUUAUCAUUGUUGUCGCAAUGUGAGGACUGGUUUGCUUACUGGGGACAAGGGACUCUGGUCACUGUCUCUUCAGGUGAGUCCUAAUUUCUCCCGUUCUAAAUGCAUUGGGGGGUGGGGUGGGGGGAUUCUGAGUAUUCAGGACCAAGACUCCCUGAAAAUAGGAGGCAAGAUUCACGACCCCUUUGUCCCAAAGUUGAGACAUGAGUCUGGGAAUCUCUGCCUGCUGGUCUGUGGUGAUAUCAGAACUGAAGUAUGAGGAAGGGUCCGGCAGAACUGAGGCUUGCAGUCUGGGGCAGACUCCUGUCCAGGGUCUGUCAGACUCUUAUGAGAAUUAGGGGCUGACAAUUGAUAGUGACAAUUCCAGGGUCAGUGACUGUCCGGUUUCUCAGAGGUGAGGCUGAAAUAUAGGUCACCUUUAAGACUAAAGAGGGGUCCGGGGCCUUUCUGCCCAGGCAGGGAACAGAAUGUGGAACAAUGGCUUAAAUGAUUGAUUCCUAUCUAACACCAGAAGUCAGCAUAAUGUCAGAGUUGUCCAGGGGUGAUUCUAGUCAGACUCUGGGGUUUUUGUGGGGUAUGGAGGGAAAAUCCACUAUUGUGAUUACUAUGCUAUGGACAUCUGGGGUCAAGGGACCUCAGUCACCGUCUCCUCAGGUAAGAAUGGCCUCUCCAUGUCUUUAUUUCUAACCUUUGCCUAUGGAGUUUUCUGAGCAUUGUAGACUAAUCCUGGAGAUUUGUCUCUGAGGGAGCCAGUGGGAGAGGCUGGGGACUAAACUGUCUAGGGAUCUCAGAGCCUUGGAGAUAGAUAUCCCCACACCUUUGGAAAACUAGGAAUCUGUGUGAUGGUGUUGGUGGAGUCCCUGGAUGAUGGGGCAGGGACUUUGGAUCUCAUUUGAGGGAGAUGCUAAAAAGAUCCCAUGGCCGGAGGGAUAGUUUGGACUGUGGUUGGAGAUUUUUAGUUUUUAGAGUAACAGUAUUAGCUGAGAAAUGUACUUCAGGGCCACCUCUGUGACAGCAUUUGUACAGUAUCCAUUGUACAGGGACAAAGAAUGGCGUGGGAUGAUUUCUUUAGGUUUGUGAGGAAUGUUCCGCACUAGAUUGUUUAAAACUUCAUUUGUUGGAAAGAGAACUGUCUUAGUGAAUGAGGGAAGGGAGGAAGACAUCUAGCCUCUUUCUCAAAAGGGUAGUUGCUAUCCAGAGGAGUCUGGUGAAGCCUGCAAAAGUCCAGCUUUCAAAGGAACACAGAAGUGUGCAUAUGGGAUAUUAGAAGAUGUUUUUACCCUUAAGGUGUUUCCUAAGAAAAAUAGAAUACUGUGACUUUAAAAUGUGAGAGAGUUUUCAAGUAUUCGUUUUUUUUUAAAUGUCCAAAAUUCUUAUCACUCAAUUUGAAGUUAUGUUUGUGUAGAAUUGAUAUUACUGGAAGUUUAAAAAAGGAAUGGGAGUGAGGCUCUUUAGACCCUAUUCAGAACUGACUUUUGACAAUAAUAAAGUUUAAAAUAUUUUAAAUAAAUUGAACAAUGCUGAGUUGGAGUCAAGAUGGCCGAUCAGGACACCUGCAGCAGGUGGCAGGAAGCAGGUCAUGUGGCAAGGCUAUUUUGGGAAGGGAAAACAAAACCACUAAGUAAACUUCUAGCUGUGGUUUGAAGAAGUGGUUUUGAAAUGCUCUGUCCAGCCCCACAGAACUGAAAGUCCAGGCUGAGCAAAACAACACCUGGGUAAUUUGCAUUUCUAAAAUAAGCUGAGGAUUCAGCCGAAACUGGAAAGGUCCUCUUUUAACUUAGUGAGUUCAAUCUUUUAAUUUUAGCUUGAGAAGUUCUAGUUUCCCCCAAACUUAAGCUUAUUGACUUCUAAAAUGUCUAGGAUUCAUUUUCCAAAUUAGGCUAUAUAAGAAAUUGAAGGACUUUAGUGUCUUUAAUUUCUAAUAUAUUUAGAAAACUUUUUUAAGUUACCUUAUUAAUCUUCCCUCUGACUAUUGGUAGCCAUUCAAUUCUUUUCCAAUACCCAAAGCAUUUACAGUGACUUUGUUCAUGAUUUUAUAAGUUAGUUUUGUUUUUUGUUUUGUUUUCUGUUUUGUUUUGUUUUGUUUUGUUUUUUGUUUUUUUGCUUUACUAUUAAGACUUUGACAUUCUGGUCAAAAUGGCUUCAUAAAUCUUUUUCAAGACCAUUUUCUGAGUAUUCAUUUUAAGAGAAAUGCUUUUUUUUUUAAUGAAUGAGUGCAAUUAUCUAGACUUAUUUCAGUUGAGCAUGCUGGUUGGUGGUUGAGAGGACACUCUGUCAGUGCAGUGAGGGGUUCCUAAGCCAGUCUGCAGAGACAUGCUCUGUGUGAACUCCCUCUGGCCCUGCUUAUUGUUGGAGAACUGGUCAAAGGUCUGAGCCCAGGCUGCUGCUGGACAGGCCUGGACUUCGGGUCUUCCAGUGCUACCCAGACCUGGGAAUAGAUGGUUGUGGCUUCUGCCACCCAUCUACCUGGCUGCUCAUGGACCAGCCAGUCUUGAUGGCUUUGAAGGAAUGAUUCCACACAAAGACUCUGGACAUCCACGAAAUCAGGCACCCAAACGGUAAGCCAGAGACAGCCACAGCUGUGGUUGCUGCUCUUAAAGCUUGUACAUGUUUCUGCUUGAGAGGGACUGAGUCUUCUGUCAUUGCUUUGUGGGGAGAAAGAGAGAUUUGUGCGUCUUUUGAGUGCCAUUGUCUGGGUCACUCAUAUUUAAUUUUCUUUGAAAAGCCUGCAAAAAAAUGUUAACCAUUGAUUACAGGGCUCAUGGUACUUUGAGGAAAUCUUAGGGAAAAUGUAUACAAUUGUCUGGAAUUAUUUCAGUUAAGUGUAUUGGUUGAGGUACUGGCGCUGUCCCUUCUUCAGUUAUACAUGUGGUUUUGAAUUUUGAAUCUAUUCUGAUUCUUCUUAGGCAGCAAAUAUAGAUAAAAUGGAUACCUCAGUGGUUUUUAACGGUUGUUUUAAUCUAGAUGGAAUUUAAAUUGGAAGCUAAAUUAGAAUCAGUAAGGAGGGACCCAGGCUAAGAAGGCAAUCCUGGGGUUCUAGAAGAAAAGAUGUUUUUAGUUUUUAUAGAAAACACUACUACAUUCUUGAUAUACAACUCAAUAGUCUAAUGAAUUUGAAGUUGCCAGUAAAUCUAUUUCCUGGUUGUUAAAGAUGGUGUUGAACUACAGUGCUUGGAUCUGAGGUCAGUGUGAGAGGGCAGGGGCUGGGAUGUGAAUACGCAGAAGGAAGGUCACAGCUGGACAGAACGGAGAGCGAAUGGAGACCUACAGCCGAGGCUAGCAGAUCUGCUGGACUAACUCUCCAGCCACAGUAAAGAACCAGAGAAGGCCAGAUUAAUAAAGCUUGCAGAGCAAAAGUCAGUGAACAGGGUUGAGAGCCCCAGUGAGCUGGGCUCCAGGAAGCAUAGCUGAGCUGAGACAGGUGGGCUCCUCUGAGCUCUUCUAAAAUGUGCUAAACUGGGGUACUCAGAGGGAAGCAAAGCAAAGCUUGAGUCUAAACAAGGUAGACCACAAUGAGCUGGGGUGAGCUGGGCCUGCUAAGCUAAAAACUAGGCUGGCUUAACCAAGUAGAGCCAAACUGGAAUGAACUGCAUUGAUCCAGGCUGAAUAGAGGUAAACUCUACUGCCUACACCGGACUGUUCUGGGCUUGGAUGAGCUGAGCUGGGCUGGGUGAGCUGAGCUGGGUGAGCUGAGCUGGGUGAGCUGAGCUGGGUGAGCUGAGCUGGGCUGGGUGAGCUGAGCUGGGUGAGCUGGGCUGGGUGAGCUGGGCUGGGUGAGCUGAGCUGAGCUGGGUGAGCUGGGGGAGUUGAGCUGAGCUGGGUGAGCUGAGCUGAGCUGGGCUGGGUGAGCUGAGCUGAGCUGAGCUGGGCUGAGCUGAGCUGGGUGAGCUGGGCUGAGCAGAGCUGAGCUGGGCUGAGCUGAGCUGGGUGAGCUGGGCUGAGCAGAGCUGAGCUGAGCUGAGCUGGGCUGAGCUGAGCUGGGUGAGCUGAGCUGAGCUGGGUGAGCUGGGCUGGGUGAGCUGAGCUGAGCUGGGCUGGGUGAGCUGAGCUGAGCUGAGCUGGGGGAGCUGAGCUGGGGGAGCUGAGCUGGACUGGGGUGAGCUGGGUGAGCUGAGCUGGGUGAGCUGAGCUGGGCUGGGUGAGCUGAGCUGGGCUGAGCUGGGUGAGCUGAGCUGAGCUGGGCUGGGUGAGCUGGGCUGGGUGAGCUGAGCUGAGCUGAGCUGGGUGAGCUGAGCUGGGUGAGCUGAGCUGAGCUGAGCUGAGCUGAGUGAGCUGAGCUGGGUGAGCUGAGCUGAGCUGAGCUGGGUGAGCUGAGCUGGGUGAGCUGGGCUGGGUGAGCUGAGCUGAGCUGGGCUGAGCUGGGUGAGCUGAGCUGAGCUGGGCUGGGUGAGCUAGGCUGGGGGAGCUGAGCUGAGCUGGGUGAGCUGAGCUGAGCUGAGCUGGGUGAGCUGAGCUGAGCUGGGCUGGGUGAGCUGAGCUGAGCUGGGUGAGCUGGGCUGGGUGAGCUGAGCUGAGCUGGGCUGGGUGAGCUGAGCUGAGCUGAGCUGGGGGAGCUGAGCUGGGGGAGCUGAGCUGGACUGGGGUGAGCUGGGUGAGCUGAGCUGGGUGAGCUGAGCUGGGCUGGGUGAGCUGAGCUGGGCUGAGCUGGGUGAGCUGAGCUGAGCUGGGCUGGGUGAGCUGGGCUGGGUGAGCUGAGCUGAGCUGAGCUGGGUGAGCUGAGCUGGGUGAGCUGAGCUGAGCUGAGCUGAGCUGAGUGAGCUGAGCUGGGUGAGCUGAGCUGAGCUGAGCUGGGUGAGCUGAGCUGGGUGAGCUGGGCUGGGUGAGCUGAGCUGAGCUGGGCUGGGUGAGCUGAGCUGGGUGAGCUGGGCUGGGUGAGCUGGGCUGGGUGAGCUGAGCUGAGCUGGGUGAGCUGGGGGAGUUGAGCUGAGCUGGGUGAGCUGAGCUGAGCUGGGCUGGGUGAGCUGAGCUGAGCUGAGCUGGGCUGAGCUGAGCUGGGUGAGCUGGGCUGAGCAGAGCUGAGCUGGGCUGAGCUGAGCUGGGUGAGCUGGGCUGAGCAGAGCUGAGCUGAGCUGAGCUGGGCUGAGCUGAGCUGGGUGAGCUGAGCUGAGCUGGGUGAGCUGGGCUGGGUGAGCUGAGCUGAGCUGGGCUGGGUGAGCUGAGCUGAGCUGAGCUGGGGGAGCUGAGCUGGGGGAGCUGAGCUGGACUGGGGUGAGCUGGGUGAGCUGAGCUGGGUGAGCUGAGCUGGGCUGGGUGAGCUGAGCUGGGCUGAGCUGGGUGAGCUGAGCUGAGCUGGGCUGGGUGAGCUGGGCUGGGUGAGCUGAGCUGAGCUGAGCUGGGUGAGCUGAGCUGGGUGAGCUGAGCUGAGCUGAGCUGAGCUGAGUGAGCUGAGCUGGGUGAGCUGAGCUGAGCUGAGCUGGGUGAGCUGAGCUGGGUGAGCUGGGCUGGGUGAGCUGAGCUGAGCUGGGCUGAGCUGGGUGAGCUGAGCUGAGCUGGGCUGGGUGAGCUAGGCUGGGGGAGCUGAGCUGAGCUGGGUGAGCUGAGCUGAGCUGAGCUGGGGGAGCUGAGCUGGGGGAGCUGAGCUGGACUGGGGUGAGCUGAGCUGGGCUGGGUGAGCUGAGCUGAGCUGAGCUGGGUGAGCUGAGCUUAGCUGGGCUGGGUGAGCUGAGCUGGGGGAGCUGAGCUGGACUGGGGUGAGCUGAGCUGGGCUGGGUGAGCUGAGCUGACCUGAGCUGGGGGAGCUGGGGGAGCUGAGCUGAGCUGAGCUGAGCUGGGGGAGCUGAGCUGAGCUGGGCUGGGUGAGCUGAGCUGAGCUGAGCUGGGUGAGCUGAGCUGGGCUGGGUGAGCUGAGCUGAGCUGAGCUGGGGGAACUGGGGGAGCUGAGCUGAGCUGGGUGAGCUGGGCUGAGCUGAGCUGGGCUGGGUGAGCUGAGCUGAGCUGGGUGAGCUGGGCUGGGUGAGCUGAGCUGAGCUGGGUGAGCUGGGCUGGGUGAGCUGAGCUGAGCUGGGCUGGGUGAGCUGAGCUGAGCUGAGCUGGGUGAGCUGAGCUGAGCUGAGCUGGGUGAGCUGAGCUGAGCUGGGUGAGCUGGGCUGGGUGAGCUGAGCUGAGUUGGGCUGGGUGAGCUGAGCUGAGCUGAGCUGGGUGAGCUGAGCUGAGCUGGGCUGGGUGAGCUGAGCUGAGCUGAGCUGGGUGAGCUGAGCUGGGCUGGGUGAGCUGAGCUGAGCUGAGCUGGGGGAGCUGAGCUGGGGGAGCUGAGCUGGGCUGGCUGAGCUGGGCUGGGUGAGCUGAGCUGAGCUGAGCUGGGGGAGCU